Non-coding RNA from Echinostoma caproni, 82 nucleotides. The record is from Rfam. Lineage: Eukaryota; Metazoa; Platyhelminthes; Trematoda; Plagiorchiida; Echinostomatidae.
GGCCUCGUAGCUCAGCUGGUAGAGCAUGCGCUUUCAAAGCGUAGGCCGUGUCCAUGCGUGGGUUCGAAUGCAACCGAGGCUA